Molecule: long non-coding RNA, 204 nt
Organism: Sapajus apella (tufted capuchin)
Lineage: Eukaryota; Metazoa; Chordata; Mammalia; Primates; Cebidae
Exons: 3
Source: RefSeq, a predicted model, not a curated record
GGGGCAUGGAAGUGUGCUACACACUUUUAAACAACCAGAUCUCCUGUGAACUCAGAGCAAAGGCUCACUUAUUACCAAGGGGAUGGCCCAAGCCAUACAUAAGGGAUCCACCACUAUGAUCCAAACACCUCCCACCAGCCCCAACUCCAACACUGGGAUUGACAUUUCAACAUGAGAUUUGGGCAGGGACGAAUAUCUAAACUA